CAUUCUCUCAGUCCUUGCAGCCAUUUCCCUUGCUAAGAGAUUUCCGUUCCUGUUGUGUCCCCAGUGUUUGUCACGUCUUGUCUGUCCUGUGUCACGGGUGUCUGCACACAUUUGUGCUGGAGCUGCUGCUCUGCCCUGCUGCAUAUCCUGGUGCAAUAUGAGAAGUCUCAGGGACUUUGAAUUUGUAAUGUGUAGUUGGAUUCUAGAUGGGAUUUGUAGAUGGACACAGGAUACGUGGAGCCCAUAAGUUAUCCUGCAGCCCUUUCACUUUCAUCCUAACUUUCUUUUAGUUGCAGAAGGAUAAAUCCAGGGCAGAGCCCCCCAUUCUGGGUGAGGGGAUUCCCCUGUGAAGGAAGUCAAGGCAGAGAGCAGCUGUCAAGGCUGAGUGGGCAAGAUGGACUGCUUGCCAUCUAUCCUAGCCCAGCAUGCCCAUGCCAGGUGCUGUCGCUGCCCUAGGCAUGCCGGGGAAGAGAGGAGGGCAGGUGACUCGGAGUUUAGGCGGGCUGAUUCCUAGGUGAGCGUUAUGCAGCAGCAUGCUAAGUGUGUACAUUUUCUUUUUGCAGGUA
This is a long non-coding RNA of Melospiza georgiana, 566 nucleotides long. RefSeq lists it as uncharacterized. NCBI's taxonomy places the organism in Eukaryota, Metazoa, Chordata, Aves, Passeriformes, Passerellidae. The record is from RefSeq and is a predicted model, not a curated record. The transcript has 4 exons.